RNAcentral lists this ribosomal RNA (253 nucleotides) under uncultured bacterium. RNAcentral describes it as "partial 16S ribosomal RNA". It matches the Rfam family "Bacterial small subunit ribosomal RNA", at positions 524 to 776 of the family's 1533-position model. The record is from RNAcentral.
UACAGAGGAUGCAAGCGUUAUCCGGAAUGAUUGGGCGUAAAGGGUCUGUAGGUGGCCUCCUGAGUCUGCUGUUAAAGAUCAAGGCUUAACCUUGAGCAGGCAGUAGAAACUCAUAAGCUUGAGUACGGUAGGGGCAGAGGGAAUUCCCGGUGUAGCGGUGAAAUGCGUAGAUAUCGGGAAGAACACCAAUGGCGAAGGCAGCUCGCUGGGACGGUACUGACGCUGAGGAGCGAAAGCGUGGGGAGCGAACAGG